Long non-coding RNA from Nerophis ophidion (straightnose pipefish), 1327 nucleotides. RefSeq lists it as uncharacterized. The transcript has 3 exons. NCBI's taxonomy places the organism in Eukaryota, Metazoa, Chordata, Actinopteri, Syngnathiformes, Syngnathidae. The record is from RefSeq and is a predicted model, not a curated record.
GAUCUGUUAAAAGCGUCGCCCGAGGGCAGUCGCUCUCCUCCGCUGUUCGUUCCUUCGCGCCUACUAUGAGCAGCCAUCAUGGGAAAUCACACAUAAUCUCCUACCCGGUCAUCAGUUGCAGGUGUGCUGCCAGUCAUCCGAGCCCACCUGCUUCUUCUAAUCAACCAACUGACUUAAACCCUGGAUCUCCACCCAGCCAGUACCAGUUCGCCCGUUGCCUGCGGUAGUGGACAGACAUUUGACCCGGUUUUCCUGGAGCUGAUUUUUCGUUACGACUGAUUUAUUUUCUCCCGUGAUUUUUUUGUUACUAAAUAGAGAUUUUUUACUGAUCUGCAUUUGGAUUCUUAUUUUUUUUGAGACCACAACAAUUAGAUCCCAUAUAGCACAUACAACAAUGUAACAUUAGAGAUUGGAACAGUAGAGGGCACACACAUUAGCGACAUUAGCAUAGAUAUGUGAACUACAGUGCUAACAUUAGACAUAGGGCUGGGCGAUAUAUCGAUAUACACGAUAUAUCGCGGGUUUGUCUCUGUCCGAUAUAGAAAAUGACUAUAUUGUGAUAUUCGAGUAUACGUUCUCACACAGUUGCUUUUAGCUGCGGGCAUUACAUGACAGGCUCUCCUCACUCUUUCCUGUAUCUCCUUCUCACAGACAAGCGCACUUUCUGACACACAUCACAUACUGUCACGUCAUACGUCACAUACUGUCACGUCAUACGUCACAUACGUAUACGCUCUCACCCAGCAGAAAGGUAGCAGCAUGGGUAACGUUAGCUGUGAUGCUAGCGGAGCCAUGCGAGUGGUAAUACGAGAGAAAGAAGGUGCGAAUGAAGGAAGAAUUAAUUCCCAAGAAAAACAGCAGGGGGUCCAUCGUCUGCCGGUGGUUUGGCUUCAAGUGGGAAUAUGUCAUACAAACAACCGUAAUUUGUCAAGUGUGGGCCAAAAGCGUUGCUAUAAAAAGUAGCAUCACUGCUAAUAUGUAGCAUCAUUUGAAAAGUCACCUGCUAGAGAAUGAAGAUCAUUUAAUAACGUCCGUAGUAACCUACCACAUAGCGAAGGACGAAUACUAUUUCAUUUCCUAUUAUGCAGCUCAUUUAUAUUUGACACUUUAAAUGUCUCAACUUGUCCAGGGUAUACACCGCCUUCCGCCCGAUUGUAGCUGAGAUAGGUACCAGCGCCCCCCGCGGCUCCAAAGGGAAUAACCGGUAGAAAAUGGAUGGAUGGAUUUAAAAUGCCUCUGACAAUCUUGCACUUUCUUUUUGGAAAUGACAUGAACGUUUGUGCCACUGCUUAAUAACUGUUUAAUAAAUACAGUUUUGGUCAAUUGA